This is a non-coding RNA of Actinoplanes sp. N902-109, 69 nucleotides long. It matches the Rfam family "ASpks TB sRNA". Lineage: Bacteria; Bacillati; Actinomycetota; Actinomycetes; Micromonosporales; Micromonosporaceae. The record is from Rfam.
CUUCACCGACCCCAGCAACAACGGCACCGCCCGGCCCUGCCCAUAGGUGGCCAGCAGCGCUUGGGCUUC